CCAAAGACUCUUUUCAGAGCCAAACCAAAAAAAAAAAAAAAAGGAUG
Molecule: non-coding RNA, 47 nt
Organism: Mustela putorius furo (domestic ferret)
Lineage: Eukaryota; Metazoa; Chordata; Mammalia; Carnivora; Mustelidae
Source: Rfam